Molecule: ribosomal RNA, 446 nt
Filed under: uncultured Campylobacterota bacterium
Lineage: Bacteria; Pseudomonadati; Campylobacterota
Description: bacterial SSU rRNA
Rfam family: Bacterial small subunit ribosomal RNA
Source: RNAcentral
GAGUUUGAUCAUGGCUCAGAGUGAACGCUGGCGGCGUGCUUAACACAUGCAAGUCGAACGAUGAAGCUCUAGCUUGCUAGAGUGGAUUAGUGGCGCACGGGUGAGUAAUGUAUAGCUAAUGUGCCCCUUAGAGGGGGAUAACAGUUGGAAACGACUGCUAAUACCCCAUACUCCUUCUUCCUAUAAGGGAAGUUGGGAAAGUUUUUUCGCUAAGGGAUCGGGCUAUAUGGUAUCAGCUUGUUGGUGAGGUAAUGGCUCACCAAGGCUAUGACGCCUAUCUGGUCUGAGAGGAUGAUCAGACACACUGGAACUGAGACACGGUCCAGACUCCUACGGGAGGCAGCAGUGGGGAAUAUUACACAAUGGAGGAAACUCUGAUGUAGCAACGCCGCGUGGAGGAUGACACAUUUCGGUGCGUAAACUCCUUUUAUAUGGGAAGAUAAUGA